UACGAAGGGGGCUAGCGUUGUUCGGAUUUACUGAGCGUAAAGCGCACGUAGGCGGAUCGAUCAGUCAGGAAUGAAAUCCCAAAGCUCAACUCUGGAACUGCCUUUGAUACUGUCGAUCUGGAGUAUGGAAGAGGUGAGUGGAAUUCCGAGUGUAGAGGUGAAAUUCGUAGAUAUUCGGAGGAACACCAGUGGCGAAGACGGCUCACUGGUCCAUUACUAACGCUGAGGUGCGAAAGCGUGGGGAGCAAACAGG
This 253-nucleotide ribosomal RNA is filed under the name uncultured bacterium. Its description in RNAcentral is "partial 16S ribosomal RNA". It matches the Rfam family "Bacterial small subunit ribosomal RNA", at positions 524 to 776 of the family's 1533-position model. The record is from RNAcentral.